GAAAUUGAUGAGACUGUCAUUAAAGUGAGAGGGUAAGCGCUAUAGAACCAGGUUUAAUCCACCAUUUUCUACAUUUGAAAAUGCCUAUACCAAGUCAGGAAUAUGACAGUUUUUGUCCAUUCGUUUUUGAUGCGUUUUGUUAUUUGAUUUUGCCAUGUGAUUAUGGACUUUCCCAAUUGAUCUUCCUCUAAGUUCAGUAUUUUUGUGAUUUUACUUU
Molecule: long non-coding RNA, 217 nt
Filed under: Mytilus galloprovincialis (Mediterranean mussel)
Lineage: Eukaryota; Metazoa; Mollusca; Bivalvia; Mytilida; Mytilidae
Source: RNAcentral